Myotis daubentonii (Daubenton's bat) is the source of this 6206-nucleotide long non-coding RNA. RefSeq lists it as uncharacterized. The record is from RefSeq and is a predicted model, not a curated record. NCBI's taxonomy places the organism in Eukaryota, Metazoa, Chordata, Mammalia, Chiroptera, Vespertilionidae.
AAAAUAAAGUACAGUGGAGCUUCAGAGGAAAAAUCCCACUGACCCAGUGGCCGAGGGGAGACUUCUGAAGGAGGAGCCCAUGGGGUGGACCAGGGAAGUUCGGUAGGUCCUACAAGAUGAAAAGAGGUGAAGUGUGGGGAGAAGGAACAAUAGUGGGUACUCCAGGUAGGGACGAACAUGUCGAGUAAAAGUUUGGGCCUACCCAUGUAGCAAAUUGAAUGAGGUUGAGUGUAGAAGGGAAUGUAGUUUGAAAGGUAGACCAAGAUGUGUUUGUAUGGGGCCUUGAUUGCCUGCUAGGGACUCGGGUCCUAAGCAAUGGGAAGUCAUUGAUGAAUAAUAUACAAGAAAAUGUCAUAUUCAGAGAUAGAAUUUGAUUCCUGGCAGCAAAAUCCAUGAUGGGUUGGAGACAGGAGAGUUGGAAAACAGGAAGACUGUAUGGCAAUAGCCGCUAAAAUGAACAAAGAGAUCCAUUCUCGUGUAUGAUUACAACAAAACCUCCUAGCAGAUUAGUGUCUUUCAAAGGCGAAGUAACAGUUUAGAACACAAAUGAAGUGGAACAAUUUAAUGUUGUUUCGUUGUAAUGGGAUUUAGUCUGGAUGGUUCAACUGUGGAAUUAGGAGCAAAAUCUAAUGUCACAGAUCACAGAUAGCUGAUAAAUGCUGUAAGACAUAUAUUUCAAAUAUAUACGUCAAUAUGGAUCCCCUGUUACUUGUUUAAAACUGUGCCCAUCUCACUAUUAUCUAUGGCAUUAAAGCUGGCAGGGCUGCGUGCCCUGACCCACACUAAAGGCAGCCUUAGCCAUUUCCCAUUGUUCCGCCAGUAACGACAGACGUCUGAGUCCUGAGGGUAAAUCUGGCCAGCCAAUUUUGAGUUGGAAAGCCUGCACGAAAGUGGAUGGUGCAUACUGUGUGUAACUGAAGUUCGUUCUCAGGGACACAGCUGAACUCUUGGGCGGGUACUUAGUUCCUGCUCAUAGUUGAGGCAUCAGUAGGUUUCACAUCUACAGUAGAAGUAUCCUACUUGCUUAAGGUGUUAUUCCUUCCAUCCCUAAGAUCUAAGAUCUAAGACUUCUUCUAGAUCUAGGAUUUUUAAAUAUCUCAUUAUCAGCUAAAAAUGGAACCAAAACUCAUCCUCAGGACCAAAAGGAAAAGGAACAAAUAGAGGGACUCCAGUCCGUCUUCCCGACUUUGUGACCUUGGCCCAUGUUCUUCACUUGAAACAAGCUGAACGUGGACUUAGCACUAGAGAGGGAGUGAACAUGUUUGCUUUGGACACUGGCUACAGCCUACAAUGCAAAUUAAAAUUCUGAUGGAAGAAGACAAAUUGUCAUGUGUCUGUUCCGUUUUAGAAAUGUUAAUCGACAAAAUUUAAACUUUUACAAUAUUUUCUAAAAAUCCAAACCUUAUGAGGAAAACUCAGGCAGUCAAAUAUGCAUGAAUGAAUGGGAGCACUUACCUCUGAAAUUGUCAUGGAAUACACGCCCACACUGUCUUAGAACAUAAUUCACGUGCCAGUUGAGUUCAGAGGGCAAGAGGAGCCCUGGGAGUAACUCAGAGUGGCAACUGAUGUUUUUAUCUAAUCUAUUGAAUGCUUUGCCCUUUUCAUGGGGAAAAAAUUAGGACUUUUAAAUUUUCUAGAUGCUGAUGUAGUUCAGUUGUGGCUAUGGAAAUUAAACCUUGGCUUGACAUGCGAGGUAUACCAGUUGUUCACAAGCUGUGCCAUAUGUAGAGAUAGGUUAUUGGCACAAACUAAGUCACCUGUUCUCUUGGUGUUCUUCUCUUUCAAUGAGGAUGGCUAAAUAAACCAUUUCUUGAUAAGCAGUUCAAGCUGCUCUCAUCAAUUCAUUGGAAAAUGUGACGGAUAUUCCUACAUGACAUGCAGAAUAAAUAUAUAAGGGAAACACAUCUGCAUAUAUACAUUGAAAUAUAAAUGGAAACCUGUUGGCACAGUUAUAUUAUUCCUUAAAUGAUAAAAAUCAUUUUAUUUAAUUUUAAACCAUUGAUUCUGUCUCUAAGGAAUUCUCAUCAGGGACUUCUGAGUUCAUUCUUAAUUGUUACUACAUAGCAGUGGCAAAAAAAUAAACGAAGUAUGGACUUUCUCAGGAUAUGCUCUGUGACCACUCGAGUGUGGCAUUGCAGUGUGUUUGCACUUGAACUGAGAUGACCACAGAGGCAUGAAGUUCUGGACAUUAUGUCCUUUACAGGGUUCCUGCCUCAUGCUGUCCUUUUAUGGUUACUUUUAUGUUUCUCAGUCAACUUAAUCACAUUGAAGUAUGUGAAAUAUUUUGGUUCUUGUUUAAAUGGGUAUUUGCAAUGCAGGUUUAACAAUGGGCCACUAGAGUCAUUUAGGAGCCAGCUCCUUUGUCAUCAUUUGUUGCCAUUCAGGCGACUCACCGACACUCCGUGGUCCCGCUUACCAAGACCUUGUUGACGUAUUUGUGACUUCCCGGGAGAGAGACUGUCCCUCAGUCAUAGAGUUUUUCACUGGAAUACUUAGAUUAGCAAAAAUGGCCAUGGCCAGAGCACCACACGCUACUGGAAGGCUAGUGGCAAGUAUUUUUUUGGCAUUAAUCACUCUGCUGGCAGCAGACCUCUGGGAAGCCUUGUGACAGGAUCUGCCCUGUGUAACAUUGCGUGUGCUCUGCUUUUCUUCUUGGAAUCUAUGAAGAAAAUGUUCCUCAGCCCAGAAGCUGGGAUUGAGAAAGCUCCCCUUCCAUGUUAUACAACCCAAAGUCUGGUGAGGGUCAGCGGUUGAACCGUGAGGGUGGGAAGGGUGAGGAAGAGGGUGAUAGUCACAGAUUCAGUGCCAAAAACUCACCUGAGUCACCAUUCCAGCCUCCCCUCCCCCCCAGUAUUGUGGCUGGAGUAGAUGCCCCACGUGUGGAAAGUCAUGAAUCUCCUUUAUCUUUAUAUCUAUAUAUGUUUUUAUGACAUUAUUAUUUUUUACUCUGGGGAGGGAUAUAAACUCAGAGCUCUCUGACUUAUUUUGUUUUAUAUUCCAUGGAAAACUAAAAAUGAAAUAGCUGUUUGUAUGGGGCCUGUUUUCAACUUUCUUUAGAACUUUCAUUAGAAAGAGAGUAACAUAAAAGGAAUCCAGAAUUUAUCUUACAUUACUUUAAUAUUUACCAAAUUUCUACAGAAGCAAGCCUUGUGCAUUUAUAAUCAGAAGAAAAAUCAGAAUUGUCUCUGGGAGAAAGGAUCAUUUUCAGACCAGUAUCACACCGACUCUUCAUUUAGCUCAUUGUCUUGGUAUAAAUAUGAAGUGUCUAGGAAUAAAAUCCUGUUUGAAGCAGAAAGCCUCAUGUGUGUCCCACUUAUACCAUUUCAGAAUACAUUGCUCAGUAUUCAGUUUGGUUUGGGGGUCAGGGUUCAAAAACCUGGACAGAUAUAACCCGGUAAUAAGCCAGCCUUCUUUUCCUAAGCACUUCCCUACUCUCUUUGUACAACCAUCAUGUAUUACCUGUUUUUAUUAUUUGAUAAACCCCCUAAUAACACAUUGUUUAGAAACUUGGUUUUGGAGAAGGUGAGCCAGGGUGUACCUGUUUUCUUAUUAGACCAACAUAAUAUUUCUGUCUGCCUAGGAUGGCAUUUCUGUGGGCUUGAAUAAUCCCCCAAAUACAACUGUCCAUGAGUUGUAAAAUUCCAAAUGCUUUUGGGUCCAGCACAUUAGGAUGACUCAUAACUCUAUUAGGAAGGUUGAUUAAAAAAAAAAAAGGCAUAUCAGAAUGUCAUGCAUUCUGGCAAAUUUUCUUUCUUUCUUUAUAGGUAUUGAGAAUAAAAUUUCAGCUAAUAUUUUUACACACGUUUUGUGUAAUUAUUCUUCCUACUACUCUUUCAGUUGAACUAGAAAGAUCUGGGCUGACUGGCCACAAAACCACUGGCUCAUUGGCCCUUUGCCCAGGUUGAAACCUUGAUUAUCUGGGAUCCAACUUCAUGAUAGAGAGUUCUAAAGCAGUGAUGGUGAACCUUUUGAGCUCGGCGUGUCAGCAUUUUGAAAAACCCUAACUUAACUCUGGUGCCGUGUCACAUAUAGAAAUUUUUUGAUAUUUGCAACCAUAGUAAAACAAAGACUUAUAUUUUUGAUAUUUAUUUUAUAUAUUUAAAUGCCAUUUAACAAUGAAAAAUCAACCAAAAAAAUGAGUUUGUGUGUCACCUCUGACAUGCGUGUCAUAGGUUCGCCAUCACUGUUCUAAAGUGUUCUGGGUAGCCGUCAUCUGUGUGUUUGGUGAGCCAUCCUGUCAGCAUCCAUGCCCGCCAGAGUGGAGAAGGGGAAGCAGAAGGGAUGGGCAUUGCCCUGAGAGAGGCACGUGCCACCUCCACUCACACACCCUGUGAGCCAGAACGGAGUCAUGUGAUCACAGUUAACUACAAAGUUGCCUUGGAGAUGUCAUCUCUCAUUGGAUUCUAUUACUCAUUGAAAGUGGGGAGAGUGAAUAUUGGGGGACAAGUAAGCUUCAAAAUAUACUUUUUCUAUGAAAUAGUGGAUUGAAGAGAGCCUGAGUGGGUGUUGGCAGGCCAUUCCUGAAAGUGAUGGGGGAUGGUGGCUAGGACUUGGGUGAUAACUGUAGAGAGAGGAUAGAGAAUGAAUUCAGAAACGCUGCAGCGUAGCACUGACAGAGGAAACAGGGCGGAGGAGUGGAAAAAAGGGCCAGAUAACUCCCGGGUUUCUGGCUUGUAUUGCAAAUGCUGGAGAGAGACCAGGUUUCAGGAGGAGGUGUUUAUGGGGCCCUGCCUUUAACUUUGAAAUGUGAUUUAGAGGCAUCUGUCAGACAGGCUGUUUUUACACAUCCAACAUAUGUCUUCUAAUAAAUUAACCACCAAUUCACAGUCAGGUGAGAGCCCCAGGUCUAGUCAAUGUCAACUAAUCUAUUCAAAUGCAUGGGCCUCAUGGGAGGGUUUCUUAUAGUAAAGGGCUUGGUUAUAUCACGUGUCACAGAAUGAUUAAUCACAUACAAACGUAGGAAAGCCAGCCAGGCAGAGGGAGCCUUUUAACCAGCUAAAGGCCUUGCUAAUUCUCUAUCAUCAUAAAUCAUGAGCAGUCUCCCUGUGUUGAUAGUAUGGACAGGACUGUUGGUCACACAGGAAUAUCAGUCACAUGGACUUGUGUGCGGCAGCCCAGCCCAUAUUCAGUGAUGGGCAUCAUCAUGAUUGUUGUAACCACGUGUGGAGCUGCAAGAACCACCACAGAGCUCCAGAGCCAGGAAGCAGGUGUUUUGUUUCUCGUGUUGCUUGUGCACAUAAUACACGAAGUGUUUAGUGUUUUGCACCUUUUAGUUGAUUUGUGAUAUUUUUUCUUAGAAAGGCCUACUUUGUCUAAGUCAGUGAUGGUGAACCUAUGACACGCGUGUCAGAGGUGACACACAAACUCAUUUUUUUGGUUGAUUUUUCGUUGUUAAAUGGCAUUUAAAUAUAUAAAAUAAAUAUCAAAAAUAUAAGUCUUUGUUUUACUGUGGUUGCAAAGAUCAAAAAAUUUCUAUAUGUGACACGGCACCAGAGUUAAGUUAGGGUUUUUCAAAAUGCUGACACGCCGAACUCAAUAGGUUCGCCAUCACUGGUCUAAGUGCUAUGUCUUCCUGCCCAGCUGACCAAGGCAUCCUGCAGUUGAUGUGCAGGCGAUACCAGCUAGUCGACUGUUGUGCACCGCUGCUGGGUGCUGUGGUUAAACAUUUACAAUGAAGUAUGUCAGGCUUUCCAAUAGGCACUGGUGUUUUGGCGUUCAUUCAUUUAUUCUUCAUUGAACAAGGGAAGUGCUACAGUCUGGCUGCAUGGGAUACUCACGCAAGAUUCUGGUGAGCACGACAAAUGGCGGACGCCUCUGCCUUUGGAAGCUCCAUUCCUGCAUCUUGGAAGCCAGGAAGUCAGAUUCAAUAGCCUAUUGCUGUCUGCAACCCAUCCACAGUGUCGUCGUCGUCAAAUCGCAGCCCUUGGCCUUCUUCUGGCUGGCCCUGCUGUGAUGGGUCUGUGGAGGCUCCAGCCUCGAAAGCCUGGCUCCCACUUCUGUUGGCGGAGGCCAAGGAAGUACCAGGAAAGGUUGGUUGGGUGGAGGGGACGGGGGCGUUUUGUGAGGCAAUUGGGAAUUGGGCUUUCUGCCUUCAUCUACUCUUCUGCUAAGAGGAGGGGGUGGGAGAGAGAGAGAGAGAGAGAGAUGGGGAGGGGUGGGAGAGAGAGAGAGAGAGAGAGAGAGAGAGAGAGAGAGAGAGAGAGAGA